GAUGAACGCUGGCGGCGUGCCUAAUACAUGCAAGUCGAGCGAACGGACGAGAAGCUUGCUUCUCUGAUGUUAGCGGCGGACGGGUGAGUAACACGUGGAUAACCUACCUAUAAGACUGGGAUAACUUCGGGAAACCGGAGCUAAUACCGGAUGAUAUUUUGAACCGCAUGGUUCAAAAGUGAAAGACGGUCUUGCUGUCACUUAUAGAUGGAUCCGCGCUGCAUUAGCUAGUUGGUAAGGUAACGGCUUACCAAGGCAACGAUGCAUAGCCGACCUGAGAGGGUGAUCGGCCACACUGGAACUGGGACACGGUCCAGGCUCCUGCGGGAGGCAGCAGUAGGGAAUCUUCCGCAAUGGGCGAAAGCCUGACGGAGCAACGCCGCGUGAGUGAUGAAGGUCUUCGGAUCGUAAAACUCUGUUAUUAGGGAAGAACAUAUGUGUAAGUAACUGUGCACAUCUUGACGGUACCUAAUCAGAAAGCCACGGCUAACUACGUG
This 497-nucleotide ribosomal RNA is filed under the name uncultured bacterium. Its description in RNAcentral is "partial 16S ribosomal RNA". It matches the Rfam family "Bacterial small subunit ribosomal RNA", at positions 28 to 507 of the family's 1533-position model. The record is from RNAcentral.